GACGAACCCCUCUGAGAAACUUUAGCCUAAUGUUAUUAUGUAUAAAGUUAAUAGUUUCCCCCCCUUUUUUUCCAAAUUGGAACUUGUAGAAUCACUCAAUAGAUCUCGGCAAUCAAUAUAUGCAAUUACUUGAUAUGUUAUUGAUCUCAGAUGAAUAUACUUCUCGUUAAUCAUUCCUAAUGUCUCCACCAAUUGCUAUCUUCUUAAUUUUUCAGUAUCCAUAUGGGAGGAAUAUUUGCUAACAUUUUCAUCAUUGACCUCCUCUUCCACCACCACCAUCGUCACCAUCACCAUCAUUAUUGGUCAUCAUCACUGUCCGGUCAUUGUUACUGUCAUCAUUGUCAUCAUCAUCAUCAUCAUCAUCAUCACCAUCAUCAGCAGCUGCAAUAGCAGCUUGUCCAUCAACCCAGUCAUUGGCAGUGUUGGCAGCAUCUGCAUCAGUAUCAUCAUCCUCAUCAUCAAAAUCAUCACCAUCAUCAUCAUCAUCAUCAUCAUCAUCAUCAUUCCUGUUGAAGAAUGUACCUAUAUGCUGUGUACCUAUAUGCUGUGAUCCUGAAUUGGGAAGGGAUGUACGGCCCUUGGUUUCAGCCUUGGAUGAACCUUGAAACUAAUGUUCAGGUCGUUUGGGCAAUGCCGGCAGUAUAUUCUCCACAUUGUACAAAUGAUGUACUGCUUGUGGCGGCACUGGAGAGAAUAGAGUUUCAGGCUUUAAGGCGGUCCCAAUAAUCAAGAUCAGUCAUGCAAUCAAUUCGUUUAGUGAGUGCCCUCUGAGGUUAUUCAACCCUCGAGCUAUUUUGUUUUGUGUGGGGAGACCACAAGGGGCAACAGUAUUCGAGGUGUGGUUGUACAAAGGAGGAGAAAAGUGGAAUGAUGACACCUUGUUCUCUGGACUGGAAGGCUCCUAAGAUCCAGGAGCCCAUCCUUCUGAUCUCUAUGGUACAUCAAAUAUCAAAAGAUCUCCACUCAGUAUGGCUGCAACUCCUGUCUCCAGCCUACAUUUCGGUCAGGCUAAUAUCUGCCAGCUCCCACCCCAUAGUCUUUGAAAAAGUUUUGACAGAUCUGUCCUCAACUUCUAGGUGUAUCUUCUGGCUUGCUCCCACUCAAGUGAGAUUCUCACUAGUCUCUUCAUGAGACUAGUGAGCACAUAACCAAAUGCUUUUCACUAUCUUACCAUGCUGUUUUCUGUAGGUUACUCAGCCUAGCUUUGUCUGUGAUUUUCUUCAUUUGCAUUGUGGCUAUUCUUAGAAAUUAUUAGAAUGGUUCUAAGGCAAUGUCUGUUGAAGAUAUCUGAAGCUUUAUAGAUUCUACUGAUCUUUUUUUCCCUGGGAAUUAUCACCUCAAUGAUUAAUGUAUACAAACAGAGCUUAGUGACUUGAUUUACAGAGGAGUUAAAUCAUACAAUCUUCAGAAGACACCUGCAACCAUUCUGAAUCUUUUCUGUGUCAUAUAUAUUCAUUCUGUGUCGAAACUCAUAAUUUUCAAAUGAUUAAAUCUGAUUAUAGUCGACAUAAAAACAUAAAUCAAUAAGAAAUUGCUGAAUGAUAAACAAAGGGUAAACAAAAAUAAAUGAAGAGAAAUUAUAAACACAGAAUAAGCUGUUUAUUGUCAUCACUUUGAGAUGCUGUCUGUUAGAUAGCAAUAACUGUCUGAUAACAUUAAACAGGUGAUAUAACAUUUUGAAAUCUUAUAUAGCAGUACACAUGUUUGAUACUACUUAAUGUGGGUUGCAUGAAGUAAUGCCUCCUGUGCAUUCUGUAAUGUGGUCUGCAUUAGGAAGGGGGCAUCCAGUCAUAAAAACUAUGUCACUGAAACUCACUGCAGUCUAUGGACACAGGCCUAAAAUUUGGUGGGAGGGGGGCAGUCGAUUAGAUCGACCCCAGUACACAGCUGAUAUUUAAUUUAUCAACCCUGAAAGGAUGAAAAGCAAAGUCGACCUUGGUGGAAUUUGAACCCAGAAAGUAAAGACAGACGAAAUACCUAUUUCUAUUUCUUUACUACCCACAAGGAGCUAAACACAGGGAGGACAAGCAAGGAUAGACAAACGGAUUAAGCCGAUUAUAUCGACCCCAGUGCAUAACCGGUACUUAUUUAAUCGACCCCAAAAGGAUGAAAGGCAAAGUCGACCUCGGCGGAAUUUGAACUCAGAACGUAGCGGCAGACGAAAUACUGCUAAGCAUUUCGCUCGGCAUGCUAACGAUUCUGCCAGCUCACCACCUUUAGGUGUCAUCAUGCCAACUCGGAGCAUAGAGGUAAAUGAUGAUGAUGAUGAUAAUGAUGACACACAUACUCACACACACAUGAUAGAGUCCAAUAUUUGGUUUGACUUAAUUAUUAUGAUAUGCAACUCCCAGCUAUUACAAGCUAUCAUGUUCUUUGUUUACACAGAUAGGGAUUUGGUGUGGGGUUUUUUCAACUGCAUAUAUAACACACACAUACCAAUGUUGUUGUUUGUUCCUUCUUGAGCUGUGCCUAGCACACAAGGGCCGGUUUCCUGGUUUCAUUGGCAGAUAGGAUGAUGAUGAUGAUGAUGAGGAUGACAAAGACAAAGAUGACGAUGAUGAUGAUGAUGAUGAUGACGAUUAUGAUGAUGAUUAUGACAAUAACAAAGACAAUGACGACGAUGAUGAUGACAACGAUUAUGAUGAUGAGGAUGAUGAUGAUGAUGACGAUGAUGAUGAUGACGAUGAUGAUGAUGAUGAUGAUGAUGACGAUGACGAUUAUGAUGAUGAUUAUGACAAUGACAAAGACAAUGACGACGAUGAUGAUGACAACGAUUAUGAUGAUGAUGAUGAUGAUGAUGAUGAUGAUGAUGAUGAUGACGAUUAUGAUGAUGACGAUUAUGAUGCUGAUGCUGAUGUUGACAAUGACAAAGACAAUGACGACGACGAUGAUGAUGAUGAUGAUGACAUCAGGGGGUUUCUGUUUGAAGUAGUAAAUGGUUCGUUGAUCAUUAUUGAGAAGGGCUCUAAUUUUGUUGUUGCAUGGCUAGUCAUGCUCUUGUGUGUCAUAAAUGCUAAACUCAGUUUUGCAGUUUUGCAGCUUUGCAGCUAUUAACCACAGUUUUGUGCAAAUAGCAUGGCUUUUACUUUAAAUGAAGCAUCAUAUUAACAAUGUUUCCCUUUUGAAGUGGUAGUCACGGAUGAUUUGGUUUGGUCUUCUUUUCUUCCCUUUUUAUUUGUUUUACUCUGCAAUAAAAUUAUCAGAAGCAAAAAGACAAAUGAACAUCUAAAAAAAUUAUUAAUUUCAUAAACAGAUUUCAAUAUGCAUUACAGUUUAUUUAACAUAACAUAUAGUGUUUAACGUACUCAUGAAUCAAAAUAAAUAGCAUCAUGCUAGUAUGGCAAAGCAUGACUCAGGAAUUACUACAGGUUGCUGAAUGUACCAUGCUUUUGCUAACUGAUGCGUAUGUAGUUGUAACUGAUGCAUAUGUAGUUAUGAGCAGACAUAGUCUAGAUCCCAUCAACUUGUAUGUAAUGACUGAAUGGGAAAAUGAGCUAUACCAGCAACCUUUGCUAGUGGUUUUUACAGCUAAGUAAAACUAGAACAACAUGAAAUGAAGUGCUAUGCUCAAUGAUACAAUGUGCCACUCUAUCUAGGAACUGAACCCAUGUCUAUUAUAAUCACUGGCCCAAUACCUUAACCACUAGGCUACAUGAUUCCAAAAGCAUCAGGUUAACUAUAAGUAAAUAAUGGUUUCAAAUUUCAGCACAAGGCCAGUAAUUUUAGAUGGAGGGGUGGGAGUGGGGGUCAAGUCAGUUACUUCAACUGCAGUGCUUGGUUGGUACUUUAUUUUAUUGACUCUAAAAGGAUUCAAAAGUAAAGUUAAUCUUGGCAGGAUUUGAACUCAGAAUAUAAAGAAUUGAAACAAAGUAUUUUGACCAAUGUGCUAACAAUUCUAGCAGAAAAGAAACAAAUACAUAAACUCCACCCUUUGAUGCAUCAGCUGCAAAAUAGACUUUUAUGGUUAUUCCAGUAUUUACAGUAAUGAUGUUAACUAUCCUCUAAACAAAGUCAUCAUCGUCGUCAUCAUCAUCAUCAUCAUCAUCCUCAUCGUUUAAUAUCCGUCUUCCAAGCUAAUGUGGAUGGGACAAUACCACAAGAGCUAGCCAGACUGAAGCCUGCACCAGACUUCUGUGUCUGUUUUGGCCAGAUUUUUACAGCUGGAUGCCCUUCCAAACACCAAUCACUCAGCAGAGUGAACUUAGUGCUUUUUAACAUGUCACAAGCACAGGUGAGGUCAGUUUUGGGAAGGUUUUUACAGCUGGAUGCCCUUCCUAACACCAACUGCUCAGCAGAGUGUACUUAGUGCUUUUAAUGUGGCACAAGCACAGGUGAGGUCAGUCUUGGCAAGGUUUUUACAGCUGGAUGUCCUUCCUAACACCGACCACUCAGCAGAGUGGGCUUAGUGCUUUUUACGUGGCACAAGCACAGGUGAGGUCAGUUUUGGCAAGGUUUUUACAGCUGGAUGCCCUUCCUAACACCAGCCACUCAGCAGAGUGGAAUUAGUGCUUUUUACGUGGCACAAGCACAGGUGAGGUCAAUCUUGGCAAGGUUUUUACAGCUGGAUGUCCUUCCUAACACCAACCACUCAGCAGAGUGGGCUUAGUGCUUUUUACGUGGCACAAGCACAGGUGAGGUCAGUUUUGGCAAGGUUUUUACAGCUGGAUGUCCUUCCUAACACCAACCACUCAGCAGAGUGGACUUAGUGCUUUUUACGUGGCACAAGCACAGGUGAGGUCAGUUUUGGCAAGGUUUUUACAGCUGGAUGCCCUUCUGAACACCAACCACUUUGCAGCAUUGACUGGGUACUUUUAAGUGGCACCUGCACUGACAAGGCCACCAAGUACUUACAAGUAGAAGUGAUAUUUCCUGCAAGUCAAUUUACUUCAAUAAAAUUGACAUAUCUAAGAAAGAUAGUUUCAAACAUGACAUUUCUCAACAAAAGAUAGGUUGGUUUAUAAAACUACUUUCUAUGGUUAAAGGUAACGAAAUUUUUAAUGGAUAUACCUAAUUUCUGUAGCAAAAGAGCUAAGCCCUACUUUAACAAAAUUUCAAGAUUUAUGCUAAUAAAUUUUUACAAUGUGCUAACAAUUAUAGAAUAUGUAGGAAUAAAUAAAGUUGACCCUAUAAAGUGGUUGGCAUUAGGAAGGGCAUCCAGCCAUAAAGAACAUGGCAAAUCAGACCUUGCCAAUGCUAGUGCUUCAUAAAGGGCACCGAGUCCACUCUGCAAAGUUCCUGGUUUUUAGGAAAGGUAUCUUAGUUACGAAAACCAUACCAAAGUAAACUGUGGAGCUUGGCACAGUCCUUGGCCCCACUUGCUUCUGUUAAAGCUGCCAGAUCAAUGCCGGUCAUUAAAUGAUGAUGAUGA
This 5368-nucleotide long non-coding RNA is filed under the name Octopus vulgaris (common octopus). The record is from RNAcentral. Lineage: Eukaryota; Metazoa; Mollusca; Cephalopoda; Octopoda; Octopodidae.